This 27-nucleotide small RNA is filed under the name Bombyx mori (domestic silkworm). RNAcentral describes it as "ovarian small RNA-15105". The record is from RNAcentral. Lineage: Eukaryota; Metazoa; Arthropoda; Insecta; Lepidoptera; Bombycidae.
GAAAUGGUGAACAGCGCUAUUGCCGAA